Molecule: ribosomal RNA, 433 nt
Filed under: uncultured bacterium
Lineage: Bacteria
Description: partial 16S ribosomal RNA
Rfam family: Bacterial small subunit ribosomal RNA
Source: RNAcentral
AGCGAACGCUGGCGGCAGGCCUAACACAUGCAAGUCGAACGAACUCUUCGGAGUUAGUGGCGGACGGGUGAGUAACACGUGGGAACGUGCCUUUUGGUUCGGAAUAACUCAGGGAAACUUGUGCUAAUACCGAAUGCGCCCUUCGGGGGAAAGAUUUAUCGCCAUUAGAGCGGCCCGCGUCUGAUUAGCUAGUUGGUGAGGUAACGGCUCACCAAGGCGACGAUCAGUAGCUGGUCUGAGAGGAUGACCAGCCACACUGGGACUGAGACGCGGCCCAGACUCCUGCGGGAGGGAGGAGUGGGGAAUCUUGCGAAAUGGGCGAAAGCCUGACGCAGCCGUGCCGCGUGAAUGAUGAAGGUCUUAGGGUUGUAAAAUUCUUUCACCGGGGACGAUAAUGACGGUACCCGAAGAAGAAGCCCCGGCUAACUUCGUG